This 30-nucleotide non-coding RNA is filed under the name Rattus norvegicus (Norway rat). Lineage: Eukaryota; Metazoa; Chordata; Mammalia; Rodentia; Muridae. The record is from RNAcentral.
UGAAGGUGAUAUGGACAGUCUUUGUAUUCC